RNAcentral lists this ribosomal RNA (380 nucleotides) under uncultured bacterium. RNAcentral describes it as "bacterial SSU rRNA". It matches the Rfam family "Bacterial small subunit ribosomal RNA", at positions 362 to 758 of the family's 1533-position model. The record is from RNAcentral.
UAUUGGACAAUGGGCGCAAGCCUGAUCCAGCCAUGCCGCGUGAGUGAUGAAGGCCUCCCGGCCCUGUAAAGCUCUUUUGGCGGGGACGAUGAUGACGGUACCCGCAGAAUAAGCCCCGGCUAACUUCGUGCCAGCAGCCGCGGUAAGACGAAGGGGGCUAGCGUUGUUCGGAAUUACUGGGCGUAAAGCGAGUGUAGGUGGUUGUCCAAGUUGGAUGUGAAAGCCUUGAGUUCAACUCAAGAAAUGCAUUCAGGACUGGAUGGCUAGAGGACCGGAGAGGAUAGUGGAAUUCCCAGUGUAGUGGUGAAAUACGUAGAGAUUGGGAAGAACACCAGUGGCGAAGGCGGCUAUCUGGACGGUUUCGACACUAAGAUUCGAAA